Molecule: long non-coding RNA, 2132 nt
Organism: Papaver somniferum (opium poppy)
Lineage: Eukaryota; Viridiplantae; Streptophyta; Magnoliopsida; Ranunculales; Papaveraceae
Exons: 3
Source: RefSeq, a predicted model, not a curated record
UUGGCGCUCUAAAUUCCCCGAAAUUCAAACGAAAAUUUCAUUAAAAUCCUUCUCCCUCCCCUGGAACUUUAGCCGCACUUUUGGUUAUAGUUUUUCUCCUUCGUUUUUUCCGACUUUAGCUUGUAACAAAACCCAAAACUUUAGCUUAAUGGGAAGAAACUUUAACUUGUAAUAUAAUUCUCUUACCAAAAUCAAAAACCCAAAACUUCUCAGUGUUUAAUCUACCCUAAACCAAAACCCAUCUUGGAAUCAUUCAUUUGAAUGAUUUUUGUUCGACAAAACAAAAAUCAUCUACAACGACAGCAACAAGUUUCUUCCCAUUGAAACAAACCCACAAAAGAGAUUGAUUUUCCAGUCAAAUCUUUAACCCGAUUUGCAAUCUGGCUUCAGAUCAGUGUGUUGUAAAUCUGCAUCACCCAUAAAAGGUUUUCGUAGUCAAAUCAUUUGCAAAUUACAACUUUUCGAUCUAAUGGAGGAAAUCAGAGUUUAUCCCAUUGUAACUGUUAAAUUCCAUUAAUCCGUCCUGGGGUCUGGUUCAUUUGAAGGAAUUGGAUGUUUGGGUAUCCAUCAGCAGCUGAGGUUAAUCACCAGUAUAGCGUAAUUUUCCUCUUGUCUCCCCCACCCCCACCCACCUUGUUUGAUGUUAGUAAUCAUUGUGAUAUGCGUAACCUGUUUGAGAUAAUGUCUCAUUGCGAACGUUUAAGAGUUGAAUGCAAAAAAUAUACGUAGGUGCGUUUUGUACAAUCUUUCUGAUUGGUAUAGUUUGAAAUGUUAUCUGAUCGGUUUUGCAAUUUAUAAAUCUAUGACUGUAGCUACAUGGCUCCGGUGCCCAUGAUUCUACUCACCUUGAAGAGAUUUGGAACAUAUUUUGUUAAGAGAUUGAGGUCCUACUGCCUCUCAAUAUCUAGAGUUGUUUUCUUAAAAUGUCACAGCAAAGGCUAGUCCUAUUUGAAGAGUUUCAGUGGUCAGGGUUGAUGUUUGUGGCUGUACCAUUUACUGAAUGGGGAGUAGGCUAGUGCAGUUAUAGCAUCAUUAUUCAAUAUGCCAUUCUGGUCUGCCGUGUCAAAGAAUUUCAGUAUGUAUUUUUAUUGAACUAAUUUUGUAGUAUUCGGUGUUCUAUGAAUCUGUCAAUUAGCUAUGGGAAGUCAUUCAUUUUCAAUUUCAGGAUGAUGGUAUCUAAUUUGAUUUGUUAAUCUGGUCAUGGCCUCGGGUUCUUUCAGGUGGUUUUAUAGUGUUUUUUGGAGGGUUCAUAACUGAAAUAACGAGUUCUUUUUAUUCAUCUAUAGGAUAAUUCUUUCUGGAUGCUCAUCUGGUGGUUUAACUUCUAUUCUUCAUUCAGGAUGCUCAUCUGGUGGUUUAACUUCUAUUCUUCAUUGCGAGAACUUCCUUGGCAUAUUACCAAGGAGUACCAAAGUAAAAUGUCUAGCAGAUGCUGGAUGCUUUAUCAGCGCAGAUGUUCUGUUUGGGAGAACGGCAGGUCUGAUAUUGGAGGGGUACAUUGUAUUAUUAGCAGCAGUUGUAUGGCAAAUUGUACCAUGUUGAGUUCCCCUUUUGAAGCUCUGGCCAAAUGACGUCUCUUUUGAGAUUCCUUUAUUGCUUAGCGUAUCACUUGUUAGAGCCCUGUGUUGGAUAAGCAUCAUAUCAAAGACUAGGACGGUACAAGAUGCCAUAAAAAAUACCAACCUAAUGGUAUUGGAAAUCUUUGGCUGAGAACAUGAGAAAUCUGGUAGUACUGAAGCUUACGGAGCUGUUGCGGACUGUUGUACUCAACUUAACAAGCUGGGAGAUUCUGUGAUAAACACAUUACUCCAGGACUAAUGUUUUACAUUAGUGUUUCAAUAUGUGGAGAUCUUUCAGCAUUGUUAGAUGCUCUAAUUUUGUUGAUUUUGAAAGCAUUUUGUUUAACUCAGAAAGUUUGGGCGAUUAAAAACAAGUUUUGCAGAACGACAAGGACAAUGUACUUUGUGGCAUCUCAGAAAGUUUGGACAAUGCACUUUGUGAUUUAAAAUUUCAUAUAUAGUUAGUCAUUUUAUCAUAACUAAAGACAUCAAGUUAUACAUUAGAAAAAAGUGGUUCUUGUGUGUAUAACACGUACUCGGUUCCAUCUAAUUGUAUUAUUCAGUUCAUAAGUU